RNAcentral lists this ribosomal RNA (402 nucleotides) under uncultured bacterium. RNAcentral describes it as "bacterial SSU rRNA". It matches the Rfam family "Bacterial small subunit ribosomal RNA", at positions 355 to 774 of the family's 1533-position model. The record is from RNAcentral.
UGGGGAAUAUUGGGCAAUGGAGGCAACUCUGACCCAGCCAUGCCGCGUGGGUGACGAAGGUCUUCGGAUUGUAAAGCCCUUUCGGCGGGGACGAUGAUGACGGUACCCGCAGAAGAAGCCCCGGCUAACUUCGUGCCAGCAGCCGCGGUAAUACGUAGGGGGCAAGCGUUGUCCGGAUUUACUGGGUGUAAAGGGCGCGCAGGCGGGAUAAAAAGUCAGUGGUGAAAUCCUACAGCUUAACUGUAGAACUGCCUUUGAUACUUUUAUUCUUGAGUUCGGGAGAGGGAGACGGAAUUCCAGGUGUAGUGGUGAAAUACGUAGAGAUGUGGAGGAACACCGAUGGCGAAGGCAGCCCCCUGGGCCUGUACUGACGCUCAUGCACGAAAGCGUGGGGAGCAAACA